AACUUAAAUGAAUUGACGGGGCCCGCACAAGCGGUGGAGCAUGUGGUUUAAUUCGAUGAUACGCGAGGAACCUUACCUGGGCUCAAAUGUAUGUUUGACGUAUUCUGAAAGGGAUACUUCUUCGGACAAUAUACAAGGUGCUGCAUGGUUGUCGUCAGCUCGUGUCGUGAGGUGUUGGGUUAAGUCCCGCAACGAGCGCAACCCUUGCCUUUAGUUGCCAGCAGUUCGGCUGGGCACUCUAAAGGGACUGCCGGUGUUAAACCGGAGGAAGGUGGGGAUGACGUCAAGUCCUCAUGGCCUUUAUGACCAGGGCUACACACGUACUACAAUGGCCGAUACAAAGGGCAGCGACACUGCGAGGUGAAGCCAAUCCCGUAAAAUCGGUCUCAGUCCGGAUUGGAGUCUGCAACUCGACUCCACGAAGUUGGAAUCGCUAGUAAUCGUGGAUCAGCAUGCCACGGUGAAUACGUUCCCGGGCCUU
RNAcentral lists this ribosomal RNA (481 nucleotides) under uncultured Desulfobulbus sp. Its description in RNAcentral is "bacterial SSU rRNA". It matches the Rfam family "Bacterial small subunit ribosomal RNA", at positions 898 to 1382 of the family's 1533-position model. Lineage: Bacteria; Pseudomonadati; Thermodesulfobacteriota; Desulfobulbia; Desulfobulbales; Desulfobulbaceae. The record is from RNAcentral.